CAAAAGAUCAAUCGAUAUACAUAUUUUCUUACAUUAUCGAUAAUGGUAAUAUAACGUAUAUUUGAAAGCAAUGCAGCUGCUGCUUAGCCCUGCUAAUGUCGUUUUGAUAGAUAUUUGACUCUUGCCAACCCAUAUUUGGCAGUAAAGCCAAAACGUUUUGACUAUGCGGCUCACGCGCCCAAUCGGCACGUUUUAAGUGUGGCCUCCAGUGCAUCUUUCGGUGUUAUUUUUCUUCGUUUUAUGCGGUUUUUCUUCAACUUUUUGUGCUAUUUCGUGUGUGUGUACACUGUUUGGCCGCAUUUUGUUACGCCGGGCAACAUGUGCAAAAGUCAAUUUGAAAAUUGCGGCACAGCCAGCCGCAGCAAUGUCGAGCUCCGCCUCCAACCCGCCCCACUACUAAACAUACUGCUGCUGCUGCUGCUACUACUCUUACUGGUACUGGUAGUACCAACUGGUACUUUGCGGUCCACUUUUCAUUGACGCCGCCGACGCACAUAAACAACGUGCUACGACGACUCCGGCCGGAACCCCACUAAAAACCCUGGCCCGGGACCGACCCCGUACCAUUGGCAAGUUGUUUAUAUUGUUUUUAAUAACAUUUAACGCUGUGGCAACAUGUGCGUGGUGCACUGCAUAAAUUACUCCAAAUGCCUAUGCGGCAUUAUAAGUCAAAUGCUUUCAACUCAAAUUAAAAAUAAAC
Molecule: long non-coding RNA, 700 nt
Organism: Drosophila navojoa
Lineage: Eukaryota; Metazoa; Arthropoda; Insecta; Diptera; Drosophilidae
Source: RefSeq, a predicted model, not a curated record